AAAUCGGAGCGGACCCCCCACCGAAAUUUAACGAUCCCAAAUAAUAGAGGGCAUUGAAUGAUAAACAACAAACAAGAAAAUCAUCCAAAAUAAUACCGUUAACCCCACACUGGUGUACUUCAAGGGAAAGACCAAAAGGAAAAGAAGGAACUCGGCAAAUACCCCAAAGCCUCGCCUGUUUACCAAAAACAUCGCCUCUUGCUAACUACACAUAAGAGGUCCUGCCUGCCCUGUGACCCCUGGUUCAACGGCCGCGGUAUUUUGACCGUGCAAAGGUAGCGCAAUCACUUGUCUCUUAAAUGAGGACCUGUAUGAAUGGCACAACGAGGGCUUAACUGUCUCCUUUUCCCGGUCAGUGAAAUUGAUCUUCCCGUGCAGAAGCGGGAAUCCUAACAUAAGACGAGAAGACCCUAUGGAGCUUUAGACUUUCGAACAGAUCAUGUAAGCUACCCCCAUGAAAUGGGUAAUAACUAUUGAAUUCCUGUUCUCCUGUCUUUGGUUGGGGCGACCACGGGGAAGAAAAAAACCCCCAUGUGGACCAGGAGCACAUUACUCCUACAACCAUGAGCCACAGCUCUAAUGCACAAAACCUUUGACCAUUAGAUCCGGCAAAGCCGAUCAACGGACCAAGUUACCCUAGGGAUAACAGCGCAAUCCCCUUUAAGAGUCCAUAUCGACAAGGGGGUUUACGACCUCGAUGUUGGAUCAAGACAUCCUAAUGGUGCAGCCGCUAUUAAGGGUUCGUUUGUUCAACGAUUAAAGUCCUACGUGAUCUGAGUUCAGACCGG
RNAcentral lists this ribosomal RNA (788 nucleotides) under Chelon auratus (golden grey mullet). RNAcentral's name for it is "partial 16S ribosomal RNA". It matches the Rfam family "Bacterial large subunit ribosomal RNA", at positions 1538 to 2619 of the family's 2925-position model. Lineage: Eukaryota; Metazoa; Chordata; Actinopteri; Mugiliformes; Mugilidae. The record is from RNAcentral.